GACGAACGCUGGCGGCGCGCUUAACACAUGCAAGUCGAACGGAAAGGCCUGCUUUCCCUUGUGGAUUGCGGGUACUCGAGUGGCGAACGGGUGAGUAACACGUGAGUGAUCUGCCCCCAACUUGGGUAUAAGCCUGGGAAACUGGGUCUAAUUCCCGAUAGGACUGCAGGGUGGUGCCUGUGGUGGAAAACGAUUUUCUAGUGGUUGGGGAUGAGCUCGCGGCCUAUCAGCUUGUUGGUGGGGUAAUGGCCUACCAAGGCGGCGACGGGUAGCCGGCCUGAGAGGAUGGACGGACACAUUGGGACUGAGAUACGGCCCAGACUCCUACGGGAGGCAGCAGUGGGGAAUAUUGCACAAUGGGCGGAAGCCUGAUGCAGCGACGCCGCGUGGGGGAUGACGGCCUUCGGGUUGUAAACUCCUUUCGACCGCGAGGAAGCCACCUGGUUGGAAGGGUGGUGACGGUAGUGGUAGAAGAAGCACCGGCUAACUACGUG
Molecule: ribosomal RNA, 494 nt
Filed under: uncultured bacterium
Lineage: Bacteria
Description: partial 16S ribosomal RNA
Rfam family: Bacterial small subunit ribosomal RNA
Source: RNAcentral